UGGGGAAUAUUGCACAAUGGAGGGAACUCUGAUGCAGCGACGCCGCGUGAACGAAGAAGGCUUUCGAGUCGUAAAGUUCUUUUAUAUGGGAAGAUAAUGACGGUACCAUAAGAAAAAGCCCCGGCUAACUACGUGCCAGCAGCCGCGGUAAUACGUAGGGGGCUAGCGUUGUCCGGAAUCACUGGGCGUAAAGGGUUCGCAGGCGGAAAUGCAAGUCAGGUGUAAAAGGCAGUAGCUUAACUACUGUAAGCAUUUGAAACUGCAUAUCUUGAGAAGAGUAGAAGUAAGUGGAAUUUUUAGUGUAGCGGUGAAAUGCGUAGAUAUUAAAAAGAAUACCGGUGGCGAAGGCGACUUACUGGGCUCAUUCUGACGCUGAGGAACGAAAGCGUGGGUAGCAAACAGG
Molecule: ribosomal RNA, 403 nt
Filed under: bacterium
Lineage: Bacteria
Also listed under: 2 other names
Description: partial 16S ribosomal RNA
Rfam family: Bacterial small subunit ribosomal RNA
Source: RNAcentral